AGUUUUGUCUAGGAAAGACUAAGUGUGCUGCUACUCAGUAUUUUCCUUGGGCUCUUAUUUCAGUUAAUAAUCUCUUGUGCUGGGGAAUCAGGAACUGGGAGGGAGAAUAGCUGUCACACAUGUACCUCUUUUUCCUUUACUGUUACUUUUGUAGUGGAGAAAAAGAAAAUGUAUAUAUGCAUUUAAUAUAUGUAUGUCUGUGUAUAUGUAGCUAUAUAUGGCUUUAAGUGACUUUUUUUAACAGCUUCUUUUAGUUAAUAGCAGUAAGGUGUAAUCAAGUGAGCUAUUUUCCUCAUAUAUUUUCAUUGUAGAUAAAAAUAUACCUUUGAGGAAUAAGUAAUUUUUUUUUUGUCUGUAUAUAUAUAUGUGUGUGUGUGUGUGUGUCUUUUCUAUUAUCCUUUUCUGCUUCCUUAGCCUGUGGGUCCUUGGCAUGGAACAAACUACUAGUGUAACUUUACAGCCUAUCUCCCAGUGGAAUGUUUGUUGUGUGUGUGUGUGUGUGUGUGUAUCACAAGUUAUGAAUACUGAUGAUAAUAAUAUGGGUAUGGCAGCAGAUUCGAUGGUGGGUAGUGGGGAGUAAAGAACAAGGAAGAGAGGUGGAAGGUAUAGAAGACAGAGAAUAGAAGAGAUAGACUGAAGUUAGUUUUGAUGUGGCACAUAGCAGCUGCAUAUAUAUAUCUAUAUAUAUAUAUAUGUGUGUGUGUGUGUGUAUGUAUGUAUACACACAUGCAUACAUAUUUUGAUUGUAUGUAUAUAUGUAUGAAAAAUUGUUUUCUAGACUGAUAUAUAUAUAUAUUAGUGCGUCUGUUUGUGUGUAUGUGUGUGUGUGUGUACACACACACAUAUAUAUAUAUAUACAGUGGGCCAUUUUUUGUAUAGCUAUCUUUGUAAAGAAUGGCAAACCUCAGCUACUUUUGAUUUAGGAAUGGAAUUAUAACAAGCCAUAUGAUGCCAUGCCAUGUUGUGCCGGUUACUUUCAAAUCCUUUUCUUUUUUUUUUGUUUGUUUUUCUUUUGUUUUGUUUUACACCAUGGUUCAGGGUGUAUGUUAACCAGGGCAUGCUAAACAAGUUUAUUGAAAAGAGCAUUUUUAUAGCAGUCCAGUCAGUGUUGCUAUAGUAAACAGUUGUAGCAGUUCAGGUAUGAGCUACGUAAUUACAGCAGCAGUAAUAAUAAUAGUAGUAGUAAAAGUAGUAGUAAUAUUGACAACAGCAGCAGCAGCUGUUGUAGUUGAGUGGGGAAGAAAGAAAAAAGAGUCCUAACUACCUGUUCUUCAAGUUGACAUCAAACAGUCCAUUCAUUUCAUAGAGUGACAGUCUGCCUGUAUGACAUUCCUCUAGCGAUUCUACCAGCUGCAUUUAUUUGCUAUCUUUAUUCCUUUCCUUUUUUCCUUCAUUGGUGUUGUCAUCGUGUCCAUUCUUCAAUGGAAAUGAAGCAUACUGGAAGUACCGGGGGAAUUGUUUUAUUACCGUGUUGGAACUAGUUUAUUUGAAAAUGGAAGUCACCUUUAUUUAAAACCAAAACUACACAAGGAGGGAAAUAACAGCUUCAGUACAAACCACCCAAGCAUUUAAACCGGACUGAAGGGUGCAACAGCCAUAUGUGUAUGAAAUUUACAUAAAUGCAUCUGCCUAUCAUUUUUCUUUAUUUACUCUGGAUUUAAUUGACAGCAUUCUUUUACAAAAUGAUGUAUAUAUUGAAAAGAAAUUCAUAACUUGAUUCAUACUUUUUAAAAUUAUAUUUAUUUAUAUUCUGGGGGUGAAAAAAAUUCACUGAGUGAAAACU
Molecule: long non-coding RNA, 1783 nt
Filed under: Octopus vulgaris (common octopus)
Lineage: Eukaryota; Metazoa; Mollusca; Cephalopoda; Octopoda; Octopodidae
Source: RNAcentral